AGAGUUUGAUCCUGGCUCAGGAUGAACGCUGGCGGCGUGCUUAACACAUGCAAGUCGAACGAACCUUCGGGUUAGUGGCGGACGGGUGAGUAACGCGUGAGAAUCUGCCCUCAGGAGGGGGAUAACGGCUGGAAACGGCCGCUAAUACCCCAUAUGCCGAGAGGUGAAAUGAAUUUCGCCUGAGGAUGAGCUCGCGUCUGAUUAGCUAGUUGGUGUGGUAAAGGCUCACCAAGGCAUCGAUCAGUAGCUGGUCUGAGAGGAUGAUCAGCCACACUGGGACUGAGACACGGCCCAGACUCCUACGGGAGGCAGCAGUGGGGAAUUUUCCGCAAUGGGCGCAAGCCUGACGGAGCAACGCCGCGUGAGGGAUGAAGGCCUCUGGGCUGUAAACCUCUUUUAUCAAGGAAGAAGAUCUGACGGUACUUGAUGAAUAAGCCACGGCUAAUUCCGUGCCAGCAGCCGCGGUAAUACGGGAGUGGCAAGCGUUAUCCGGAAUUAUUGGGCGUAAAGCGUCCGCAGGCGGUCUUGAAAGUCUGUUGUUAAAGCGUGGAGCUCAACUCCAUUUCAGCAAUGGAAACUAGAAGACUAGAGUGUGGUAGGGGCAGAGGGAAUUCCCGGUGUAGCGGUGAAAUGCGUAGAUAUCGGGAAGAACACCAGUGGCGAAGGCGCUCUGCUGGGCCAUAACUGACGCUCAUGGACGAAAGCCAGGGGAGCGAAAGGGAUUAGAUACCCCUGUAGUCCUGGCCGUAAACGAUGAACACUAGGUGUCGGGGGAAUCGACCCCCUCGGUGUCGUAGCCAACGCGUUAAGUGUUCCGCCUGGGGAGUACGCACGCAAGUGUGAAACUCAAAGGAAUUGACGGGGGCCCGCACAAGCGGUGGAGUAUGUGGUUUAAUUCGAUGCAACGCGAAGAACCUUACCAGGGUUUGACAUCCUGCGAAUCCCUUGGAAACUUGGGAGUGCCUUCGGGAGCGCAGUGACAGGUGGUGCAUGGCUGUCGUCAGCUCGUGUCGUGAGAUGUUGGGUUAAGUCCCGCAACGAGCGCAACCCACGUCUUUAGCUGCCAGCAUUAAGUUGGGCACUCUAGAGAGACUGCCGGUGAUAAACCGGAGGAAGGUGUGGAUGACGUCAAGUCAUCAUGCCCCUUACAUCCUGGGCUACACACGUACUACAAUGCUACGGACAAAGGGCAGCAAACUCGCGAGAGCUAGCAAAUCCCAUAAACCGUGGCUCAGUUCAGAUCGUAGGCUGCAACUCGCCUACGUGAAAGAGGAAUCGCUAGUAAUCGCAGGUCAGCAUACUGCGGUGAAUACGUUCCCGGGCCUUGUACACACCGCCCGUCACACCAUGGAAGUUGGCCACGCCCGAAGUCGUUACUCCAACCCGCAAGGGAGGAGGAUGCCGAAGGUGGGGCUGAUGACUGGGGUGAAGUCGAAACAAGGUA
RNAcentral lists this ribosomal RNA (1444 nucleotides) under metagenome. Its description in RNAcentral is "bacterial SSU rRNA". It matches the Rfam family "Bacterial small subunit ribosomal RNA". The record is from RNAcentral.